GUUAUUCUCUUGGUACGCUCAAAAAAAGAAUCAUGUUACAAAAAUUUAUUUGUACUGUUUUUACGAUUUUCGUUCUAAUAACGAUGCUACAGGCCAGUCCGGUGGAUCAAAAUACUGAACCAGAUAGCGGCCUAAUGAACAGCUUCUUAUCCUGCAUAUCUGCAUUAUUGUCUAGUGAAAUGUCAACAUUAAACGAUUAUGUCAAUAUUAUAUUAGAAAUUUUGCAAUUGGGACAUUUACCAUGUACGAUAUAUUCCAUCGACCCGUCUCAAAUCAAUUGUACUAAAGACUAAAUAAUAUUACUGGUCACUCGAGCAAAAUUUAUUUAUUUUUUUCUUUCAUGUAUAUUAAAUACUUGUUGUAAAUCAUUUACCAAUUUUAAAUAAUAAUAUAAUUGUUAUUAUAUGACAUACAAUUUAUUAUAAUAAACUUUCUACAAUGCAUA
Cataglyphis hispanica is the source of this 445-nucleotide long non-coding RNA. RefSeq lists it as uncharacterized. The transcript has 2 exons. Lineage: Eukaryota; Metazoa; Arthropoda; Insecta; Hymenoptera; Formicidae. The record is from RefSeq and is a predicted model, not a curated record.